This 289-nucleotide unclassified non-coding RNA is filed under the name Hevea brasiliensis (rubber tree). The record is from RNAcentral. Lineage: Eukaryota; Viridiplantae; Streptophyta; Magnoliopsida; Malpighiales; Euphorbiaceae.
AAGAUCGCUUGUCUUCGGAAGCGGCAGAGCUCUUAGGCGCUCUGCUUGAACACCCCGACAUGGCGGCGCAACUGAAUGAGCGCUUGCUCAAGCUGCCGCGCACGGAAACGGCAAUCGUCAUGGACCGUGUCCUGAGCAAGGCCAUUCAGGAGCAGUCUUGGGGGACGCCCCCAAUUCUCGAUGCCGCGCUCGCCGUUGUCGCGGCAGAUCCUUCGCAAGGUGCCCGCGUCGGUACGUUCUUGCGCGAACGUCCGCCCGCUCAAAUCACACCCAGCCUUGUCCCCAAGAU